AAGUCGAGCGCGAAAGUGGGCUUCGGCCCACGAGUAGAGCGGCGCACGGGUGAGUAACGCGUGGGUGAUCUGCCUUCGAGUGGGGAAUAACACCGGGAAACUGGUGCUAAUACCGCAUAACAUCCUCGGUUCGUUCCGAGGAUCAAAGCCGGGGACCGUAAGGCCUGGCGCUUGAAGAGGAGCCCGCGUCCGAUUAGCUUGUUGGCGGGGUAAUGGCCCACCAAGGCUUCUAUCGGUAGCCGGCCUGAGAGGGCGUACGGCCACACUGGGACUGAGACACGGCCCAGACUCCUACGGGAGGCAGCAGUGGGGAAUUUUCCGCAAUGGGGGAAACCCUGACGGAGCAACGCCGCGUGGAGGAUGAAGGCCCUCGGGUCGUAAACUCCUGUCGAUCGGAAAGAAUGCGUCCGACCCAAUACGUCGGCACGUUGACUGUACCGGUGGAGGAAGCCACGGCUAACUCUGUGCCAGCAGCCGCGGUAAGACAGAGGUGGCAAGCGUUGUUCGGAAUUACUGGGCGUAAAGCGCGCGCAGGCGGUUCGUCAAGUCCCGUGUGAAAUCCCCCGGCUCAACUGGGGAACUGCGCGGGAAACUAGCGAGCUUGAGUUCGGGAGA
Molecule: ribosomal RNA, 615 nt
Filed under: uncultured bacterium
Lineage: Bacteria
Description: bacterial SSU rRNA
Rfam family: Bacterial small subunit ribosomal RNA
Source: RNAcentral